UACGGGGGGGGCAAGCGUUGUUCGGAAUUACUGGGCGUAAAGGGCUCGUAGGCGGCCAACUAAGUCAGACGUGAAAUCCCUCGGCUUAACCGGGGAACUGCAUCUGAUACUGGAUGGCUUGAGUUCGGGAGAGGGAUGCGGAAUUCCAGGUGUAGCGGUGAAAUGCGUAGAUAUGUGGAGGAACACCGAUGGCGAAGGCAGCCCCCUGGGCUAACACUGACGCUCAUGCACGAAAGCGUGGGGAGCAAACAGG
This 253-nucleotide ribosomal RNA is filed under the name uncultured bacterium. RNAcentral describes it as "partial 16S ribosomal RNA". It matches the Rfam family "Bacterial small subunit ribosomal RNA", at positions 524 to 776 of the family's 1533-position model. The record is from RNAcentral.